Homo sapiens (human) is the source of this 1461-nucleotide long non-coding RNA. Lineage: Eukaryota; Metazoa; Chordata; Mammalia; Primates; Hominidae. The record is from Ensembl.
GAGGCGGGAGAGGCAGAGGCAGAGGCAGCAGCUGCUACGGGAAAGCAGAGCUCUAUGGUGUAUGUGUGCAUGUGUCUAACCCAAGCCAGCCCCACACCGGAGCGGCCGCCGGAGCGAAAAGGGCCUGACUUUUCCACAAGUGUCUCCAACUCCUCAGGCAAAAGAGACACCCACAGGUUAUGGCUGUAUUGCCCAGGCUGGAGUGCAGUGCAGUGGCAUGAUCACGGCUCACUGCAGCCUUGACUUUCUGGGACUGAAGCCAUCCUCCCACCUCAGCUUCCUGGGAAGCCAGGACUACAGAGAUGGGGUCUCACUAUGUUGCCCAGGCUCAAGGGAUCCUCCUGCCUCAGGCUCCUGAAUAGCUGGAACUACAGGAGACCACUGCACUCAGCUAGGGAUUUUUUGAUGGAGAAAAAAAAAACACACAGAUGAGAUUAGAAGAAGAUCUGCUACAGCAACAGAAAAAGAGAAUGCCAAGAAGGGGAAGAGUGAAGGCUGGAGAGCGGAAGCCAAUGCCAAAACAUUCCGAAGCUACCCAACAUCUAAGAAAGGUGGCCUGAGGGAGAUUGCAAGCACUAACCGCUAAACGCUAAAUGAAGGGUUAGAUCUUAUCUAUGUCCAGAAGGAGUAAUAAGAAAGAAUGCGUAUCUCCAAAAGCUGAAAGAUUUGGACAGGACCCAAGGCGGAGGCCUGGCAUUUUUCUAAAUUGAGAUGCCAAUCCCAUCAUACCUUAGGACUAUAAGAUUCAAGGAUGAAGACUGGCUCCCCCGGUGGGGCAAAAUCAGUGGAUGGGACACAACACAUCUGCCAUCAUGAUGAAAACAGUAAACCUCUACUGAGGCUCCACUCUUGAAGCGUGCCUCUGUCAGACCCUAGUUAUCCAAGGCUGGUGCUCAAGGGAAAAAGGACGCAGUCUUGGAAGGCCAGGAAGCUUCUGUCUUACUCAUUAGCCUGAUAUGCCAGCUCCAUGUAGGUAUUCUUAAGUCUUUCUUUUUUUUUUCUUUUGAAAUGGAGUCUUGCUCUGUCACCAGUGCAGUGGUGCCUCUUGGCUCACCACAACCUCCGCCUCCCAGGUUCAAGCGAUUCUCCUGCCUCAGCCUCCUGAGUAUCUGGGACUACAGGUGUGUGCCACCACGCCCAGCUAAUUUUUGUAUUUUUAGUAGAAACGGGGUUUCACCAUAUUGGCCAGGCUGGUCUUGAACUCCUGAUCUCAAGUGAUCUGCCUGCCUCGAGGUAUUCUUAGUCUUAAAUGUGCUACUGUAGACACAUAUUAUUGUCACAUAGGUUAAUAUUUCUCUUGGAGAAAGAACUGAGGCAGGACACCUGAAGGUACUCUUUCAGGCAACAUUUUCACUUAGGAAAGUUCUAAAUUGAGUUUGUAUCAUUCCGUGUCCCUCCUCCUCUCCCUUUCUCUUUUCUCUUCCCUUCUCUCAUUGUCCGAAAGAUUAAAUAAAACAAAAA